RNAcentral lists this ribosomal RNA (315 nucleotides) under uncultured bacterium. RNAcentral describes it as "bacterial SSU rRNA". It matches the Rfam family "Bacterial small subunit ribosomal RNA", at positions 158 to 507 of the family's 1533-position model. The record is from RNAcentral.
CGGCGUCGAUACCGGAUGAUUCCUGAGGGACAAAGAUUUAUCGCCUUUGGAGGGGCCCGCGUCGGAUUAGGUAGUUGGUGGGGUAACGGCUCACCAAGCCUAUGAUCCGUAACUGGUCUGAGAGGAUGACCAGUCACACUGGGACUGAGACACGGCCCAGACUCCUACGGGAGGCAGCAGUGGGGAGUAUUGGACAAUGGGGGCAACCCUGAUCCAGCAAUGCCGCGUGGGUGAUGAAGGCCUUCGGGUUGUAAAGCCCUUUCGGCGGGGACGAUGAUGACGGUACCCGCAGAAGAAGCCCCGGCUAACUUCGUG